ACUCCUACGGGAGGCAGCAGUGGGAAUAUUGGACAAUGGGGCAACCCUGAUCCAGCAAUACCGCGUGUGUGAAGAAGGCCUGAGGGUUGUAAAGCACUUUCAGCGAGGAGGAAAGUUAAUGUAGUUAAUAGCUAUGUUGAUUGACGUUACUCGCAGAAGAAGCACCGGCUAACUCUGUGCCAGCAGCCGCGGUAAUACAGAGGGUGCAAGCGUUAAUCGGAAUUACUGGGCGUAAAGCGUGCGUAGGCGGAUAUUUAAGUCAGAUGUG
RNAcentral lists this ribosomal RNA (268 nucleotides) under uncultured bacterium. Its description in RNAcentral is "partial 16S ribosomal RNA". It matches the Rfam family "Bacterial small subunit ribosomal RNA", at positions 335 to 596 of the family's 1533-position model. The record is from RNAcentral.